This 10272-nucleotide long non-coding RNA is filed under the name Taeniopygia guttata (zebra finch). Its description in RNAcentral is "lncRNA (ENSTGUG00000026349.1)". The record is from RNAcentral. Lineage: Eukaryota; Metazoa; Chordata; Aves; Passeriformes; Estrildidae.
UUUUUUUUUUUUUUUUUCCCAGCUGGGAUGCAAAUGCUUUCCCGACUUUCUGUUUAUGUAAAAAACACUGUGAAGAUCUAGGAAGGUUCUGUGGUCUCAUCAAAUCCCACAUUUCUUGAGCACUUUCCUUUUUUCUAAAUUCUCUCAGGAUUCUUAGUGGGGAUACAAUACACUAAUGAUAAUUUUUUAGCCGAAAAUAUUAUAUUGGAUUGAUAUCUACUAUUUCAUAGUCAAUAGUAUCAAUUUAGCUGAAUUUCGGUGCCAGAAUAGAUGGAAUCAGCUCAUUUUCAUGAGCAUUUUUAGAGAUCCAGGAUAAAGGCUGCAUUUGAAUUUCAGAUAUUCAGAGAGAAGUGAUCUUUCAAAUAUUCAGUGUUGCUCAGAAGGAAAAGUGUGAAUAGCUGCUCUGGAUUUUCCUUCAAAGUGAACACUGAUGAAUUGCUUGAACUUUGUGGCUUUGUUGACUCUUCUUGUCCCCCUCUGUCCAUCUCUUUUUGGGAACAGUGUGUUUGUGUCCAUGUGUGCUCAUGUUGUCCCCACUCCUCAGUCACAGUCAGUGUCUCAGCUCUCUCUUUCAGUCCCUUUCUUCCUCAGAGUUCUGGAUAUUCAUAGUUUAGCAGUAUUUUAACCCACAUCUCACACCUUACCUCAUACUUGCAGUUUGUUUUUGUAUUUUCCUAAUAAGCAGCAUCUUCCUCUGACCCAACUUCACUGCAGUGGCCUUGGCAGAGUCAUUUGGGGAAGGUUUUAGACUUGGUCUUUGCUGGGGAGCAGCUACUUUCAGUGGGGAAACACAGAAUUAAGCAAAGGGGGACAGUUAGAGCUGAAGAGAAGAAAUGGGGGCUAAGAAGGUAAUAUUUCACUUUUUUUUGCCUCACCCCAAAAUAAGCAUUUUUAAAGCCUCAGCACUCAUUCUCACAAAGAGUUGUAUAACCCAGCAACUCUGCCCAAUUUUAUGGAGGCAUUUUCAACUUCCUGUCUCAUCCAUUUAAUUUAUGUUUGAGAGGUGAAGGUGUUCUUAUUAAAAGGCCCCCUGUCAGUAUUACAGACUGUUGUGAAUUACUAAUUUUCUUUUUAAAACAUCAAUAACAGAUUGAUCUGGGUCAGCACACCCAAUACAAAUAAUCCACUGAAUUUUAGGAGGAUUGAAAUUUAGCUCUGAAUCAGGCAACAGGCUCUGCCCUGACCUCCUGCAGGCUCUGGUCAGUGCUGGAGAAAUUAAUUUUAACUGCAAAAAUGCAAAUUGAGACACAUUCAUUGAGCUGUUGUAAUCACAGCAAGGCCAUGCCUGGUUUAAAACAGGCUCAUUUCUAAUCCCUGGAUAAAAAAGAUUGUGGUCGACUUUUAUUUUAAUAAAAAUCAGAAAGAAGAAAGUGCAAACAGAGCUUAAAUUCUGCAGAUGCCCCGGCUGAGCAGCCAUUUGACACUGGUAAGAGCAUCAUGUCUUAAUUAGCGCUCUACAAAGAAAACAGGGAAAGUGAAAGAUAAUUAGUACCAGUCUUGUUAAUCUGAAGUAAACAAAGCAGUUGUUUGGUGUUCAUGGCACUGUGUCAUUAAAGCUGAGUUAAAUGGAAAAGUGCUGAGCCAGGGCAGUCUCCGUUUGCAGGGGCAGGCAGAGAGGGGAUGAGCACCCAGAGCUGCCCAGCUGGAGCUGCUGAGACAGGAGCUGCUGCCAGCCCUGCCCGGGAAUCCUGAUCCCCUGGCCACGGGGUUCAGGUGGGGAGGGCAGCGGUGGGGCUGUGCAGAGUCACUCCAGGAGAGUCCUCUCCAUGUGUGUGGGAGGUGCUGCAGGAAUUUCCCCAGCUCUGAAAGGCACCAGGACCCAGCCCCAGGUCCCUGCCUCCCCCCUGCUCCUGCCGUCCUUAGGCUGGAGAAGUGCCAGCAUUGCCCAGCAGUGCCACCGUCACCUCCAGACCUGUCCCGAAGUGCCACGUCCCACACUUUGCCUUCCACCAGAGCACAGGUGUGGGGCUGGGGCAGAGCUGGGCCUGCCUCCUCUGCACUUCAUGAUUUUCAGGAAAAGCACAGCAGCAAAACACAGCUCUGAGACAAUAAUGCUGCUUUUUUGCACAGGGUGAAGAGUAAGAACAGCUUCUGCUUUAGCAGCAGGAGAAAUGAGAGAAAAUUCAGUAUAUAAGAAAACUCAAUAUAUGACAAACCCUGUGCUGUUUGGCAGGAUGGGGAUGGGCCUUGUGGUGAAAGGUCAAACAUGCAAAACGUUGGAGUAUUUUUUGAGCUGGGACACAGGGUGGGAAUUCCUGGAUCCUCUGAAUUUCCCAGGUGUUUAGCACCAAAGAACUUGGAGGAUUGGGUGUGUUGUAUCGUGCUAUUCAUAGCCCAGCUGAGCUUUGUGUGAAGUGAGCUAAUUUUCAGUGGAAGCAUAUUUUAACCAGCUGCUUUUUGUUUUUGUUUUGCCUUUUUCCUUUUUAUUUUUCCCUUCCCAGUCUCCCCUGCCCAUGGAGUCCGUCCAGCGUCCUGGAGCUACUUCCCCCCUUGUAUGUCUUCAUUUAUUCCUUUGUCCUUCUUUCAUUCUUGCCUUGUUUGUCUCCUUUUUCUUUCCUUCUUCUUCUGUACAUGCAGGUCAGUAGCACUGAUGCCCUGAAGGAUAUUUAGGGGAAACCAAAGCAAACUUUUGUCCUAAGGUGCUCUUUUAAAAGAUAUUUGGACAUAAAAUAAUACAGCAGGGAAAGAACAAAGCUGGUUAUAGCUCUUUUCUGGGGGUGAUAGAAUAAUCUUGAAUCCAUAAAAAGAUUGAAAACAUUAAAAAGAAAGAAAUUAAGUGCCAGAUGACCAAUGUCAGCGUGAAAGAAAGAGAGGCUAAAAAUGGCUGAUGGGGAGGAAUUAAACACAGUUCUUGAAGUUUGUUAGAACAUGACAACCUUCAGAAGCCAAAAUUCCCUUUUUUUUUAAGAGGGAAUGGUGUUUGUGCUUAACAUCUGACAAUGCCCAAAGUGGACUAAUAUGUGGCUUGUUUAUUCAGAGUCCUGCUUCAUGUUGCCAUAGUCUUUUUUAGAUCCUGCUAGUGCUGGUCUAAACCUCACAGCAAUAAACUGGUGUCAGAAAAACCUGGGAUUGGUCAUGUAGAUUUAUCAUUUUUACAGCAAGUGCCUCACUUGCACAGAUCAGCUCCCCCUGGGAUGUUGUUUGGAUUCCCUAAAUCAGUCUGAAAAUUUGAUAUGCAAAUACUGUAAAGAGAUAAUUAUAAAAUACAUAAUAUUCAUGUAAAUGUACACAGCUAUAUCCUUUACCCACACGCCCACUGCAGCCUGCUGGCAUAGACUGUGCUGCUGUCCCUGGAGAGUGGGGAACAGGCAGAGCUCCCUCUCCCAGGGCUCCCCCAGGACAGGAAAACCUGGUCCUGUUGGGCAGGUUUGGUUUCCUGGGCACCUUCCUGAGCACGUGCCAACACGAUCAGAGCCUCCGGGCAGAAGGAAUGCCCAGGGUGGGAGAGCAGGGUUUGUAUUUGGGAUGUAUCAUUGAGAGUGGGUGAGGCUUCUUCCACUGCCCAUGUCCAAACCCACAGGAGCCAGGGAAUACUGAAACUGGGAUGGAGGAUUUAAGAAUGAGGGCAGAAUUACUGCUGUGACUGGCCAUGUCCACUGAUAAAUAAUCUGACAGAAAAUUUGGGAGGAAUCAGAAUAGUGAAUCUUAUAAGAUCCAGGGAGUUCCCUCUGGACACACAGAUAUGGAAAAAAGAUUUUUCUUAAUAUUUUUCCAUCUGUAUAGUCAAGUUCCUCGGAUCCCUGAGCCCUUCAGAUAUGCAGUUCCUGUCAAAGAUCAGAUAACACAGGAGGCUUUAGCCUGUCUAUUUUUUCAGGCAGGCUUCUUUAUUAGGUUUUUAACACAAAAACAAGGAAUGGCCACAUUUCUGGUUAUUUAAUGCCAGUGGUCAGUGUUGAGUUCCCCUCCUCUCUCAGCUGUGAGAAGUAAGAUUCUGACAACAGAGCAGCUCCAAUAUUUCUGCUCAAAGCUAUGAGGCUUAUUAGUGGUUCUACUUGUUUUUCUUGUGACAUUAAUUCCUUGUGACAGCCCUGUCCCUCUGUGAGUCACAGAAUUGCCACAGAGAUGACAAACUUGUCUGUGGCUGCUCUGAGAGCACCACUGGAGAGCUGAGGAGCCACAUCCUCCCCUGGCUGAGCACUCCUGGGCUCUGGGGCUGUUUUAGAUUAUUCCUGUGUCCCACAGAUCAUGGCUUCCGCUGCCAGGAAUUCAGAAAUAUUUGUGGGUUUUAAGUAUAGGGGAUUUGAGGUCCUGUUCAGGUUUUGCUGGUGCAAGGGGGAAGUUCCUUUCUGGGCUCAUUUAGGCACUGAAGUUCUUUUUUGGGCUCAGAUAAACAAGCUGAGCUCUGGACAGGGAGGCAGGGGCUGGGGGAGGAUUUUGUAACUGGGACAAAGUGCCCCUGACCACAAGCCCAAAAUCUUUGUCUCCCAGCCACAGCAAAGGCUGUUCCUGUGCAAGCUGUGCUGUAUUAAAAAUCACUGAUUACUCCUCCUGCAUUUGCCAACCUAAUCUGACAUUUAUUUUGUAUCAUUUUUAAUAUUCUUUUUACAGGGAAAACUCUGCUUAGGGUGGUCUCUGCACAGCAUCCCAGAAUCCCAGACUGGUGUAGGUUGGAUGGGAGCCUAAAGAUCAUCUGGUUCCACCUGCUGCCGUGGGCAGGCAGGGACUGGAACUGGGAACUGGCCUGCACACACUGUGCUCACUCCUGAGCCAGCUCCAAGCCCAGUUAUGCAGGCCCCAGCACCACCCACUUCAUCCCCAGCUCAGUUUUCCAGGGAUUUGGGUUAGUUCAGCUCAGUGGAUCAGCUCCCUCAUGCUUCUGCUUGCACACAGACAUUGAUGGGCAGGAACAAUUCAGGCCUAGAACAGCCCAGAGGAGCUCAGCUCUGCAUGCCCAGCGCUGAACUCUGCAUUUCUCCAGCUCUGUCUCUCUAAUUGCUGUCUCUCCACACUGAAUUGUUGGUCUCCUGCAGUCCCUCUAGGAGAUUUUUAACUUUGUCCUCUCUCUUGCCUUCUGUCUGUCCCUGUGCCCCCUCCCCUGGUUAUCAGAUUUGGAGAUGGAUAGUGUAAAACCAGGCUCUGCAUUUGUUACUGAGGCUCUGAACCAGUCCCACCUGAGCUCAGGUAGAACCUGUUCUGUGCCAUCACUCUCUGUCCUAACCACGUCUAACCUUGUAUGUGGUAGCAAGAACCCCUCACUAACCCCUAGGCUUGCUGGCAGAACCUAGCUGUAGUGUAAUAAGUAGUGAAAUAGAGAAUUAUUCAUCUCUUUUUAUAUUAAAACCUGUUGGAACUGGCACUAGGUGAAAUUAAGGUGUUCCAGUGGAUCUGAGGAGCUGAGAUGUGUCCCUGGUACAUUUUAUGAAAUUAAACAUUUGAUCCUCAGUUAUUGAAAGGUAUUUGACAGCAGACAUUCCCAUUUAUUUGCUUGUUGUGUUAAGUCAUACCUGAACUUCUAUUUCCCCGGAUCUCAUAAGUGCUCAGAAAUAGACUGCAGGUGGGAUUUUAGGAGAGGCAGAGCAGCAAUGUGUGGGAGCUUUAUUUCUAGGCAGGGCUGUGCACCAAGGCAAAUAGCAGAGUCUUGCACAGGCUUCAGACAACGUUGUCCCCCGUGUCCCUCUGCUUCACCCAGUCCCUUGGUAUGGGGGUUGAACUGUACCUUCCUAGAGGUCAUCCCAAGGUGAACAGGUUAUUUAUUAUUGGAUUUUGAUAUCAAAGCAAUGCUAAUAAAUACACCCAGUCAGAGCACAUUUGAGUCCUGCUAUCCACAAAAGCAUGGAAUCAUGGAUUCCCCUGAGCUGGACCCACGAGGAUCAUCCUGUUCCACUCCUGGGUCUGCACCAACCAUCCCACCUUGUGUCUGAGAGUGUUGUCCAAAUGCUCCUGGAGCCCUGGCAGCCUCGUGGCUGUGACCAUUCCAGGCAGAGGAAGAACCUUUCCUGAUACCCAACAGCACUGGCAGAACAUUUCAGUUUAUGAAGGAGCCAGUGCUGGAGCAAUUCGGUGACUGAAGUGCUUGGGAAGUGCCAGACCUCUCUUCUAAUUGUAUUUGAACUGGUUGCAAAUCUUCUUGUGGUUUAGGUGUAAAGCUCAGCUUCUGCUGCAGUCAUUGUCUGGAUGCCCCUUGCUCCUUCUCCAGUCAUCAGAGGAGGAUUUAUUUUUAAACUAGGCUUUAGGGCUUUAUUUCACUCCCAUCAGAAGUGCUGAAAACUUGCUUUAAAAAAAUAUUAUUUUGCUGGUAGUGUGGAUCUUGGAUGCAUUAAGAAUGUCAACCUUCACCUUCAAUAAUUGUGUUGUUUUGCUAGAUUUCAGUGCAGUGAGCUCUGGAAAGUGCUUAUUUACUCUGAAUUGCCCCAGUAAUUAAUUACCUGGUUUCAGGAGAAGGGGAUUUAUUGCAGGGACUGCCCAGGACUAUAAGACUGUUUAGUUCUUUAAGGUCUUUAACUUUCAGGUCUGUACUGCAGAUCAGAACUGCAGCAGCAUUUUCCUGAGUUUUUAAUUUAAUUUCAUUUCUCCUUCUCUUUGCUAUCCCUCCCUUGUUUUAAGUGAUUCGUCUUUUGUUCCUUCCCAUUUUUUGGCAGAAAGAGAUGAGAGCUGUGGGCUGAUCUGUGGAAAUGCUGCUAAAUACAGGAUUCAUCUGGUCCUCUAUGAAAUUUGUACCACAAAAUCUGUGAUUCUGCUGGAAAAGUAGGAGUUGAAGAGUACAGCUUCCUGAGCCUGUGUGCUGGGAACAGACAUGGCAAAAAUUCGGUGUUCCCUGGGCAGGCAGGAAUGGGAUGUAGGAGCAUCCCAAAAGCAGCAGCAGCAGCAGCUCUGUCCUGCCUGGGAUGAGGAGUUGCUCACAGCCCUCUCUGGGGGAGUGGAUUUGGAGCAAGUCCCACUGUGCUUCAGCCAGCCAGGCAGCACCAUGUGUGCUGUUCUGCUGUUCCAGCAGUCGUUCGGGAGAAGGAACCAGCAGGGCUCUGGAUCUGGGGCUGCUGCUGCUGCUGCACUGGCCCUUUCCCCACAGGGCACAGGAUGCUUUUGGCAUUCCAUGGAAACACAGCAUUCCCAGUUGUGGGCUGAAGCUGUGAAUGAUCUUCUAAAUGUCCCAUUUCCCUUUUGCAAGGGGGCAGGGCUUGGGUGUUCCUCUACACCUGCACAGAAAUCCACCUGAGGGUUCUCCAAAGCAUACCAUGGUAAGAUUUGCAGGCACACAGGAUGGCAGGGAAUUGCAGUUUUGGGAGUUAUUCACUAAACUGGGACAUGUAGUGGAUUUAUAAGGAGCAGGUUUUAGAGUUAAAAAGUGUCAAAUAUUCUUUCUACACUCUCUGCCUAUGGGGGCAUGUUCUAUUUGUAAUUUGCUUUUGCAGUUUGCCUUCACUGGCAAAUCUGAAACACUUUUCCUAAACAAAAUCUCUAAACCUUGGCUAAUUUCUAAGUGAGAGAUGAGCAGGAAUUGUAUUUCACAAAGUUCCUAAGGAUGCAGAGCAUUAGGGAGUUAAUAUAUUUCUCCUUUCUCUGUAAUCCUUUAAUCCUUUAAAACUGCAGAUGUUUCUAACAAUGGCAGUGAGAGCCAGGAGUGCAUUUUGGCAGUGCUUUAGGAGCACCCCUGGCUGUUCCUUGCCCCCACACUGAGGAGUUUUAGGUGCUGUUUAUGCAGUAUUUGCAGUGAGAACAAAUCCAUGUUUCUGUGACAUUUCCUGGGUGCUAUGGAAACUGUCUGUGUGGUUCUCAGGAAGUUCAGAGUGAGUUGGUUGACAUUUUCUUCAAGAGGCUUGGGUUUGAAAGCCUGGAGUGGAAGAGCAGAAUUUGGGGAUGAGUGUUAUGCGUGGAGGGCACAGGGGAAGCUGGGGAAGGGGCAGAGCAACUGCAGCAGGGCAGGAGAUCCAUCCUUUGGAGAGAAGCUGGACUGAAAUAAAAGGCACCCAGUGGCUCAGGGACCCAGGAGCAGGAGGAAGGUAUCCUUUGCUCCUGCUUUUUCACUCAUAGCUUCUUUUCUUUUUUAGCUGAACUCAGAGAGUUUUCUAAUCUAUGAAAGUCCUUCUGGAGCCCUCCCAGCCCUGAGAGAGUGGAUCCUGUGUCCCCUCAGAAAGUGCCAUGAGUGCAAAGCCAGUGGUCCCAGGACAGCUGGUGGACACCAGUGUUGUCCUGUGGCACCACCAGGUGCAGGCUGAGCCUGGGUAUGCUCCAGGGACCUUCUGCCUUCUCUGAACAAUCCCAGUGAGGCACAGGUGGAGGUGUCAGUGAAUAAGCCUCUGUGUCCAGCCCUCAAGUUUGCAUUCAGGUUUUUCCCUGGCAUAGCUUAGUCUCCUGGAAGUAUGGAAAAGAUCCUACACAGAGCUGGCACAAAAAAACCCAUCUCUGCCCACCCCAGUCCCCUGCCAGGCUCCAGGCUCCUGGCCUAGGAGCCCUUUAGCAGCUUCAGGGAGCAAGGGCAGCAGCAGAGCUCUGCCAGUUGAGGAGCAUCCUCUGCUCCAUGCCAACAUAUCCUACAUCCCCACUGGGAGGCACUGCUGGUGUAAUUACAGGGCUGAAAAUCAGCCUCCAGGCACAGGGAAAUGCCUGGAAUACAGGUAGAGAGAAGAGACAGAUUAAUUCCUGUGUUCCCUAUCGGGCAGUUUCUCCUUGAGUGUGGUCACUGAGGCUUUGGGAAGAAGCUGAGCCCAUACACCGCGGCUUCAGGCAUCUCACACUUUAGCAGAUAAUUUUGUGGUGAGCCUUGACCAUGUUUCCUGGGGAAUUUUAAUUGGAAAGAAAAGGAACAAACAGGGUGUGUGGAUCUGUGCAGAGUCUGUACACAUCAGUUCAUGAAUAAUGACAUAGAACUGUGUUCUGUGCAGGUAAGAAAGAGCUGUGUUGAUGUUGAAAACAUUCCUGGUGUUUGAGAGGCUGGAUCCCCCAGAACAGGCUGAGUAGUGUGAAGCAGAGCAGUGAAACUUGGCUGAGUGCAGGGAGUUGGAGGCCCCAGUGUGCUUUAAUAAGGACACUUUCCUUUUCACUAGUUCUUUGCUGCUUUCUCACUCUGCCUGCUCUCCACUUACUCAGGUUGGGGGUGAUGUUAUUUUUAAACAAGAUGGUUUUUUCCUUUCUCCAAAGCUGUGUCAAAAUGGCCCUUAACUAUAGACAUAGUUGGCUUAGCAAAACUCUGCAGUUGUGCUAAAAACUCUGAAAUAAUGGCAAGAGGGAGUUUGUUCUGCUCUGCUUUUCCUCUUCUUUUCUGAAUAAUUCUGUAAAUAAGUGUGGGAGCCAGACUGUGGCUGGGAAAUGCUUCAGGCAGUUUUAACUAUAAAUGAUGGCACAAAGCUCUGAUCUCUUCCUAGCCUAUGGAUUUAUCAAGGGUCAUGCCAGUGCUUAGCUCAAUUCUCCCAUUAAAACUGGUCUUGGGAAGUUCACAAAGGUUCAACAGCUGCACCACCACCCCUCUGUGCACAAAGACUUCAGAAAUUGAAUAGUUGGAAUAUUUUUCUUGCGAGCCAUGGCAGACCAUAGCUUCAUCCACCAAAAGCUCAGUCACCACAUGGUACCAUUGGGCCCAGAGAAGCUGUGGCUGUCUAGAAGUGUCCAAGGCCAGGUUGGACAGGGCUUGGAGCACCCUGGGAUAGUGGAAGGUGUCCCUGCCCAUGGCAGGGGUGGGACUGAAUGAGCUUUAGGGUCCCUUCCGACCCAUUCUGGGAUUUGAUGAUUCCAUACUCUGUGACAUGAGAUACCUGGAUGUCAAACCUGGUUGCUGUUGGCUUUGAAUCAAAUCCAAUAAUUUUAAGGCAUUCCAUGCCAUUAUGUGCUGCUGUAUUGGUUUUUUUGAAUGCCCCACUCUGUUUCCAUCUAUAAUUUCUCAGCAACACCCCUUAUUUUAAAGGGCUUUUUGUUUAUUUGUGUUGUGUGUAUGUGUGUUGGGAGCAGCUGACUGCAGGAUAAAUCCAGCUGAGGAUGAAGCAGCAUUGGAAAAUCCUGCCUGUCCAACUCCUAAUGAUGGCUUGAAGCUCCUUCGGUGGUUACAUUUGCAAAAUCAGAAAGCAGAAGAAGCUACAGGCUGCACUAAUAACAUUCUCUGGGUUGCUUUGCCUUCCCAAUUCUUCUGAAAUAACUUUUGGAGGAUAGGGUGAAUUUCAGGAUUGAACUUGUGACAAGCACGCGGAUAGACCCUUUUUUCUGUGGUUUCAAGUAUGUGGCCUUCUUGGAUGGGUUUAAAAGAUACUCAUUAUCUGCUUCCUCUGCUCCAUGGCAAGCUGACAAACUCCUCAGGAGUGGGGAGUUCAUCUCUUUGACUUGCUAAAUUAAAAAAAAAAAAAAAAA